This 74-nucleotide transfer RNA is filed under the name Roseimicrobium sp. ORNL1. RNAcentral describes it as "tRNA-Gly". The record is from RNAcentral. Lineage: Bacteria; Pseudomonadati; Verrucomicrobiota; Verrucomicrobiia; Verrucomicrobiales; Verrucomicrobiaceae.
GCGCCAUUGGUGUAGUAGCAGCACGUCAUCCUUCCAAGUUGAGAGUGCCGGGGCAGUACCGGCAUGGCGCUCCA